AAGUCGUAACAAGGUUUCCGUAGGUGAACCUGCGGAAGGAUCAUUAAUGGGAUUGCAAGGGAGAGCUGAUGCUGGUGGCCCCUCUGGCUGCAUGUGCUCGCUCUUCUGAUUUAUUUCACACUGUGCACCCAAGUUUCUCAGAGGGCUUUUAAUGGCCCUUGGGGGAGUUUUAUAAACACCUUGGAUUGGAAUACUGGAUGAUUGUCAAAUAAUUACAACUUUUAACAACGGAUCUCUUGGCUCUU
This 245-nucleotide unclassified non-coding RNA is filed under the name air metagenome. Its description in RNAcentral is "partial contains small subunit ribosomal RNA, internal transcribed spacer 1, and 5.8S ribosomal RNA". The stretch from base 1 to 46 matches the Rfam family "Eukaryotic small subunit ribosomal RNA", at positions 1786 to 1831 of the family's 1831-position model. The record is from RNAcentral.